RNAcentral lists this ribosomal RNA (1293 nucleotides) under uncultured cyanobacterium. RNAcentral describes it as "16S ribosomal RNA". It matches the Rfam family "Bacterial small subunit ribosomal RNA", at positions 106 to 1432 of the family's 1533-position model. Lineage: Bacteria; Bacillati; Cyanobacteriota. The record is from RNAcentral.
GUGAGUAACGCGUGAGAACCUACCCCUAGGACGGGGACAACAGAGGGAAACUUCUGCUAAUCCCGGAUGAGCCGAGAGGCCAAAGAUUUAUCGCCUAGGGAUGAGCUCGCGUCUGAUUAGCUAGUUGGUAAGGUAAAGGCUUACCAAGGCAACGAUCAGUAGCUGGUCUGAGAGGAUGAUCAGCCACACUGGGACUGAGACACAGCCCAGACUCCUACGGGAGGCAGCAGUGGGGAAUUUUCCGCAAUGGGCGAAAGCCUGACGGAGCAAGACCGCGUGGGGGAGGAAAGCCUUUGGGUUGUAAACCCCUUUUCUCAGGGAAGAAGAAAGUGACGGUACCUGAGGAAUCAGCCUCGGCUAACUCCGUGCCAGCAGCCGCGGUAAUACGGAGGAGGCAAGCGUUAUCCGGAAUGAUUGGGCGUAAAGCGUCCGCACGUGGCUCGUCAAGUCUGCUGUUAAAUCCAGUAGCUUAACUACUGACAAGCAGUGGAAACUGGAGAGCUAGAGUGCGGUAGGGGCAGAGGGAAUUCCUGGUGUAGCGGUGAAAUGCGUAGAGAUCAGGAAGAACACCGGUGGCGAAAGCGCUCUGCUGGGCCGCAACUGACACUCAGGGACGAAAGCUAGGGGAGCGAAUGGGAUUAGAUACCCCAGUAGUCCUAGCUGUAAACGAUGGAGACUAGGUGUUGCCUGUAUCGACCCGGGCAGUGCCGUAGCUAACGCGUUAAGUCUCCCGCCUGGGGAGUACGCACGCAAGUGUGAAACUCAAAGGAAUUGACGGGGGCCCGCACAAGCGGUGGAGUAUGUGGUUUAAUUCGAUGCAACGCGAAGAACCUUACCAGGGGCUUGACAUGUCCGGAACUCUGGGGAAACCUAGAGGUGCCUUCGGGAGCCGGAACACAGGUGGUGCAUGGCUGUCGUCAGCUCGUGUCGUGAGAUGUUGGGUUAAGUCCCGCAACGAGCGCAACCCUCGUUCUUAGUUGCCAGCAUUAAGUUGGGCACUCUAGGGAGACUGCCGGUGACAAACCGGAGGAAGGUGGGGAUGACGUCAAGUCAUCAUGCCCCUUACGUCCUGGGCGACACACGUACUACAAUGGGGAGGACAAAGGGCAGCCAACUAGCGAUAGUGAGCUAAUCCCGAAAACCUUUCCUCAGUUCAGAUUGCAGGCUGCAACUCGCCUGCAUGAAGGAGGAAUCGCUAGUAAUCGCAGGUCAGCAUACUGCGGUGAAUCCGUUCCCGGGCCUUGUACACACCGCCCGUCACACCAUGGAAGUUAACCAUGCCCGAAGUCAUUA